RNAcentral lists this ribosomal RNA (775 nucleotides) under uncultured Neocallimastigales. RNAcentral describes it as "partial large subunit ribosomal RNA". It matches the Rfam family "Eukaryotic large subunit ribosomal RNA", at positions 20 to 621 of the family's 3401-position model. Lineage: Eukaryota; Fungi; Neocallimastigomycota; Neocallimastigomycetes; Neocallimastigales. The record is from RNAcentral.
UACUAGAGUAGCACUCGCAUAUCAAUAAGCGGAGGAAAAGAAACUAACAAGGAUUCCCCUAGUAACGGCGAGUGAAGCGGGAAGAGCUCAAAUUUGAAAUCUUAAAGGGUUUCCCUUUACGAAUUGUAGUUUAAAGAAGUGUUCUCUGUUGAGGUUUUGGUAAAAGUUCUUUGGAAUAGGACAUCAUAGAGGGUGAGAAUCCCGUAUUUGACCUUUACUUUCAACUUUGUGAUACACUUUCAAAGAGUCGGAUUGUUUGGGAAUGCAGUCCAAAAUGGGUGAGUAAAUUUCAUCUAAAGCUAAAUAUUGGCGAGAGACCGAUAGCGAACAAGUACCGUGAGGGAAAGAUGAAAAGAACUUUGAAAAGAGAGUUAAACAGUACGUGAAAUUGUCAAAAGGGAAGCGUUUGACACCAGUGUUGUUUUUCUGAAAAUCAAUUAAAGAACUGUUUAUGCUAAGUUGUUUAGACUUUAUCAGCUAUCUGCUUAGUUUUGAGCUUUUCUUUAAUGCACUUUUCAGUUAACAAGUCAACAUCAAUUUCUUUUGCUGUAAAAAAGCUUGAGGAAGGUGGCUUGAGAUUCGUCUUAAGUGUUUAUAGCCUCUUGCCUAUGCAGUCGGAGAGAUUGAGGUCUGCAGCGUAGAUCCUUCGGGGCUAAAUGCAUUUGUGCUAAGUUAUAGCAUUUUAUAGACAACUUGUUGACUAUGAUUUGUCUUGUAGCUUACUCGCUUAUGUUAUUUUACCUACGCUUAGGAUGUUGAACUCUAUCACACACAG